RNAcentral lists this ribosomal RNA (732 nucleotides) under Clostridioides difficile. RNAcentral describes it as "partial 23S ribosomal RNA". It matches the Rfam family "Bacterial large subunit ribosomal RNA", at positions 725 to 1465 of the family's 2925-position model. Lineage: Bacteria; Bacillati; Bacillota; Clostridia; Peptostreptococcales; Peptostreptococcaceae. The record is from RNAcentral.
GCGACCUACCCAUGAGCAGGAUGAAGCGAAAGUAAAAUUUCGUGGAGGUCCGAACCCACGAGCGUUGAAAAGCUCGGGGAUGACUUGUGGGUAGCGGUGAAAUUCCAAUCGAGCCCGGAGAUAGCUGGUUCUCCCCGAAAUAGCUUUAGGGCUAGCCUCAAGGUGAGAGAUACGGAGGUAGAGCACUGAAUGUCCUAGGGGGUAUUGCACCUACCGAAGACUAUCAAACUCCGAAUGCCGUCAUCUUAUACUUGGGAGUCAGACUGUGGGUGAUAAGAUUCAUAGUCGAAAGGGCAACAGCCCAGAUCGUCAGCUAAGGUCCCUAAAUGUAAGUUAAGUGGUAAAGGAUGUGGGAUUGCACAGACAACCAGGAUGUUGGCUUAGAAGCAGCCACUCAUUCAAAGAGUGCGUAAUAGCUCACUGGUCGAGUGAUCCUGCGCCGAAGAUUUCCGGGGCUAAAACUUACUACCGAAGCUACGGCAUCAGUAAUGAUGGGUAGGGGAGCUUCCCAUACGGGUUGAAGCAUGACCGUAAGGACAUGUGGACAGUAUGGGAGUGAGAAUGUUGGCAUGAGUAGCGAGAUGUGGGUGAGAAUCCCACAGGCCGUAAACCCAAGGUUUCCAGGGGAAGGUUCGUCCGCCCUGGGUUAGUCGGGACCUAAGCUGAGGCCGAAAGGCGUAGGUGAUGGACAACAGGUUGAUAUUCCUGUACUACCGAUAACCGUUUGAGAGA